This 253-nucleotide ribosomal RNA is filed under the name uncultured microorganism. RNAcentral describes it as "partial 16S ribosomal RNA". It matches the Rfam family "Bacterial small subunit ribosomal RNA", at positions 524 to 776 of the family's 1533-position model. The record is from RNAcentral.
UACGUAGGGUGCGAGCGUUAAUCGGAUUUACUGGGCGUAAAGCGUGCGCAGGAGGCCCGUUAAGACAGGUGUGAAAUCCCUGGGCUCAACCUAGGAAUUGCGCUUGUGACUGGCGGGCUCGAGUACGGUAGAGGGGGGUGGAAUUCCUGGUGUAGCAGUGAAAUGCGUAGAGAUCAGGAGGAACACCGAUGGCGAAGGCAGCCCCCUGGGCCUGUACUGACGCUCAUGCACGAAAGCGUGGGGAGCAAACAGG